GUCCUUGCCGUAAACGAUGUGGAUUAGGUGUUGGGGGUGUUGAUCCCCUCAGCGCCGCAGUUAACGCAUUAAAUCCACCACCUGGGGAGUACGGUCGCAAGACUGAAACUCAAAGAAAUUGACGGGGACCCCGCACAAGCGGUGGAGCAUGUGGUUUAAUUCGAGGCUACGCGAAGAACCUUACCCAGGCUUGACAUGUAGUUGAAUGGCUGCGAAAGCAGUCAGGCCCGCAAGGGACAAUUACACAGGUGCUGCAUGGCUGUCGU
RNAcentral lists this ribosomal RNA (266 nucleotides) under uncultured bacterium. RNAcentral's name for it is "partial 16S ribosomal RNA". It matches the Rfam family "Bacterial small subunit ribosomal RNA", at positions 793 to 1055 of the family's 1533-position model. The record is from RNAcentral.